UUAGACCAUUUACGCCAGCACAUCCAUUCCCAGCUUGAGUUUUGUGUGUUUUUUCAGCGCUGCUGCGCUGUCUAUUCCAUUUGCCUUCCAGCUAUCUUGUACUGGAAACCUUUCCAGCCUCCAAAAUGGCGCCGAUCGUUUUUGGACCGCCCACAGAGACCUUUUCCUUGGUCUCAUGUGUGCUGUCAUUACUUUUGGCUACAUUGGGAUCAGCUGAGCUUGUCAGCUGGGUGGAUUAUUUUCCUUCUGCUGACGCCCAGGUCAUGUGUCUGCACUGCGGCGCUUUGAUUGGUCAAUCAUCGCCGUGGUGGCAGAUUUAAAGCCCAAGCGCUGUGUUAGGCGCUCCAGCUGAGACCAGACCUAAUUAAUGCAAGGAAAGGCUGCUGUAUGCACAGCUAUCUAGGUGGCUCUGCCUUUUCAUCUUUGGACUUCGUCCCAAUCAGAGCGGAUGCCGCUUUUUGAUCAGGUUAUUUGAGGGGCUGUGAGAGUGUCUUCCUUCCCCUUUAUCCUCUUUCAAUCCAUAUCUAUGGCAAACAUUAGACUGUUUCUACUGACAACAGGCAUUUUUGCUUACUAUUGACAGAUUAAUUCUAUUAAUGGCUUAAAAUCCUGCUGUGGUUCUC
This is a long non-coding RNA of Rana temporaria (common frog), 623 nucleotides long. RefSeq lists it as uncharacterized. The record is from RefSeq and is a predicted model, not a curated record. Lineage: Eukaryota; Metazoa; Chordata; Amphibia; Anura; Ranidae. The transcript is spliced from 3 exons.